RNAcentral lists this ribosomal RNA (253 nucleotides) under uncultured bacterium. Its description in RNAcentral is "partial 16S ribosomal RNA". It matches the Rfam family "Bacterial small subunit ribosomal RNA", at positions 524 to 776 of the family's 1533-position model. The record is from RNAcentral.
UACGUAGGGUGCGAGCGUUAAUCGGAAUUACUGGGCGUAAAGCGUGCGCAGGCGGUUGUGCAAGGCAGAUGUGAAAUCCCCGGGCUUAACCUGGGAAUGGCAUUUGGGACUGCAAGGCUCGAGUGCGGCAGAGGAGACUGGAAUUCCUGGUGUAGCAGUGAAAUGCGCAGAGAUCAGGAGGAACACCAGCGGCGAAGGCGGCGCUCUGGGCCGGAACUGACGCUGAGGAGCGAAAGCGUGGGUAGCAAACAGG